This 523-nucleotide ribosomal RNA is filed under the name uncultured Glomus. RNAcentral's name for it is "SSU rRNA". It matches the Rfam family "Eukaryotic small subunit ribosomal RNA", at positions 569 to 1092 of the family's 1831-position model. Lineage: Eukaryota; Fungi; Glomeromycota; Glomeromycetes; Glomerales; Glomeraceae. The record is from RNAcentral.
AGCAGCCGCGGUAAUUCCAGCUCCAAUAGCGUAUAUUAAAGUUGUUGCAGUUAAAAAGCUCGUAGUUGAAUUUCGGGAUCAAUACGUCGGUCGUGCUUUCGGGUACGUACUGGCGUCAUUGGUUUCUCCUUUCUGACGAACCAUGAUGUCAUUAAUUUGGUGUUAUGGGGAGUUAGGACUGUUACUUUGAAAAAAUUAGAGUGUUUAAAGCAGGCAUUAGCUUGAAUACAUUAGCAUGGAAUAAUGAAAUAGGACGUUCGAUCCUAUUUUGUUGGUUUCUAGGAUCAACGUAAUGAUUAAUAGGGAUAGUUGGGGGCAUUAGUAUUCAAUUGUCAGAGGUGAAAUUCUUGGAUUUAUUGAAGACUAACUACUGCGAAAGCAUUUGCCAAGGAUGUCUUCAUUAAUCAAGAACGAAAGUUAGGGGAUCGAAGACGAUCAGAUACCGUCGUAGUCUUAACCAUAAACUAUGCCGACUAGGGAUCGGAUGAUGUUAAUUUUUUAAUGACUCAUUCGGCGCCUUACG